This 210-nucleotide long non-coding RNA is filed under the name Elaeis guineensis (African oil palm). Its description in RNAcentral is "long non-coding RNA (EGUI_LNC033675)". Lineage: Eukaryota; Viridiplantae; Streptophyta; Magnoliopsida; Arecales; Arecaceae. The record is from RNAcentral.
AUGAGAGAUCAAAUUCCAUUCCAAACUUAGAAAUUGAAGUAUCUAUUUGGCUGAUACGGUACUCUACUAUAUCUAUUUAAGGAUGCUUUUACGUCGAGCUCCGAAAUUGAUCUAACUCUGAAAUUGAUCUAAUCAGCUCUGGUUCUAUUGAUUUAUGUCAGAGUCAGUUCUUCUACCUAUCAAGCUUGACCAAGCUUGGUCUUAAUGGCA